AUCGCUUCUCAGCAUUUUGGCUAAGAUCAAGUGUAGUAUCUGUUCCUAUCAGUUUAAAAGUUUAGUACUUCUGACACAUAUUUCUCAGAGACAUUUUAUUGUACAUUUAAGGAGUAGCUUCU
RNAcentral lists this small nuclear RNA (122 nucleotides) under Zalophus californianus (California sea lion). Its description in RNAcentral is "U2 spliceosomal RNA (ENSZCAG00015022314.1)". It matches the Rfam family "U2 spliceosomal RNA". Rfam says of the family: U2 is a small nuclear RNA (snRNA) component of the spliceosome (involved in pre-mRNA splicing). Complementary binding between U2 snRNA (in an area lying towards the 5' end but 3' to hairpin I) and the branchpoint sequence (BPS) of the intron results the bulging out of an unpaired adenosine, on the BPS, which initiates a nucleophilic attack at the intronic 5' splice site, thus starting the first of two transesterification reactions that mediate splicing. Lineage: Eukaryota; Metazoa; Chordata; Mammalia; Carnivora; Otariidae. The record is from RNAcentral.